CGGACGGGUGAGUAACGCGUGGAAAACCUGCCGUAUACUGGGGGAUAACACUUAGAAAUAGAUGCUAAUACCGCAUAAGCGCACAGCUUCGCAUGAAGCGGUGUGAAAAACUCUGGUGGUAUACGAUGGUUCCGCGUCUGAUUAGCUAGUUGGUGGGGUAAUGGCCUACCAAGGCAACGAUCAGUAGCCGGCCUGAGAGGGUGAACGGCCACAUUGGGACUGAGACACGGCCCAAACUCCUACGGAAGGCAGCAG
This 255-nucleotide ribosomal RNA is filed under the name uncultured bacterium. RNAcentral describes it as "partial 16S ribosomal RNA". It matches the Rfam family "Bacterial small subunit ribosomal RNA", at positions 99 to 354 of the family's 1533-position model. The record is from RNAcentral.